This 253-nucleotide ribosomal RNA is filed under the name uncultured bacterium. RNAcentral describes it as "partial 16S ribosomal RNA". It matches the Rfam family "Bacterial small subunit ribosomal RNA", at positions 524 to 776 of the family's 1533-position model. The record is from RNAcentral.
UACGGGGGGGGCAAGCGUUGUUCGGAUUUACUGGGCGUAAAGGGCUCGUAGGCGGUCAACUAAGUCGGACGUGAAAUCCCCAGGCUCAACCUGGGAACUGCGUCCGAUACUGGAUGGCUUGAAUCCGGGAGAGGGAUGCAGAAUUCCAGGUGUAGCGGUGAAAUGCGUAGAUAUCUGGAGGAAUACCGGUGGCGAAGGCGGCAUCCUGGACCGGCAUUGACGCUGAGGAGCGAAAGCCAGGGGAGCAAACGGG